UAGUCCUAGCACUUGGGGAGGCGGAGGCGGGCGGAUUGCUUGAGCUCGGGAGUUCGAGACCGGCCUGGCUGACAUGGUGAAACCCCGUCUCCACUAAAAAAAUGCAAGAAUUGGCCGGGCGUGGUGGCGCGCGCCUGCGGUCCCGGCUGUCGGAGGCUGAGGCGGGAGAAUCGUUUGAGCCCGGGAGGCGGAGAUUGCAGUGGGCCGAGAUCGCACCAUUGCACUCCAGUCUGGGCGA
This 238-nucleotide small RNA is filed under the name Macaca mulatta (Rhesus monkey). RNAcentral describes it as "partial Alu". Lineage: Eukaryota; Metazoa; Chordata; Mammalia; Primates; Cercopithecidae. The record is from RNAcentral.